UGGGGAAUUUUGGACAAUGGGCGAAAGCCUGAUCCAGCAAUGCCGCGUGUGUGAAGAAGGCCUUCGGGUUGUAAAGCACUUUUGUCCGGAAAGAAAUCCUUGGCUCUAAUACAGUCGGGGGAUGACGGUACCGGAAGAAUAAGCACCGGCUAACUACGUGCCAGCAGCCGCGGUAAUACGUAGGGUGCAAGCGUUAAUCGGAAUUACUGGGCGUAAAGCGUGCGCAGGCGGUUUGCUAAGACCGAUGUGAAAUCCCGGGCUCAACCUGGGACUGCAUUGGUGACUGGCAGGCUAGAGUAUGGCAGAGGGGGGUAGAAUUCCACGUGUAGCAGUGAAAUGCGUAGAGAUGUGGAGGAAUACCGAUGGCGAAGGCAGCCCCCUGGGCAAGUACUGACGCUCAUGCACGAAAGCGUGGGGGAGCAAACAGGAUUAGAUACCCUGGUAGUCCACGCCCUAAACGAUGUCAACUAGUUGUUGGGGAUUCAUUUCCUUAGUAACGUAGCUAACGCGUGAAGUUGACCGCCUGGGGAGUACGGUCGCAAGAUUAAAACUCAAAUGAAUUGACGGGGUCAU
RNAcentral lists this ribosomal RNA (573 nucleotides) under uncultured bacterium. Its description in RNAcentral is "partial 16S ribosomal RNA". It matches the Rfam family "Bacterial small subunit ribosomal RNA", at positions 355 to 922 of the family's 1533-position model. The record is from RNAcentral.